RNAcentral lists this ribosomal RNA (393 nucleotides) under uncultured bacterium. RNAcentral describes it as "bacterial SSU rRNA". It matches the Rfam family "Bacterial small subunit ribosomal RNA", at positions 505 to 898 of the family's 1533-position model. The record is from RNAcentral.
GUGUCAGCCGCCGCGGUAAUACGGAGGGUGCAAGCGUUAAUCGGAAUUACUGGGCGUAAAGCGCACGUAGGCGGUCGUUCUAGUCCGUUGUGAAAGCCCCGGGCUCAACCUGGGAAUGGCAAGGGAAACGGAACGACUGGAGUGGACCAGAGGACCGUGGAAUUCCCGGUGUAGCGGUGAAAUGCGUAGAGAUCGGGAAGAACACCGAUGGCGAAGGCAGCGGUCUGGGGUCACACUGACGCUGAGGGGCGACAGCGUGGGGAGCAAACAGGAUUAGAUACCCUGGUAGUCCACGCCGUAAACGAUGAGAACUAGACGCCGGGCAGGUCACUGUUCGGGGUCGGAGCUAACGCGUGAAGUUCUCCGCCUGGGGAGUACGGCCGCAAGGUUGAA